AAUUUAAAAGGAUGAAAAAGGAGAGAAAAUUCCAUGAAAAUUUUGGGAAUUUUGGGGAAAAAAAAAUUUAAUUUUUAUUUUUUUUUUUUUUUUUCUGGGAAUUUUUAGGGAAUGAGAAGGAAAAAAAAAAUUGGGAAAAUGUCCCCAAAAUGAGGGAAAAAUUCCUGGAAUUUUUAAGGGAAAAUCCUGGUAUUUUUAAGGGAAAAUUCCUGGAAUUUUUAAGGGAAAAUCCUGGAAUUUUUAAAGGGAAAAAUCCUGGAAUUUUUAAGGAAAAUCCUGGAAUUUUUAAGGGAAAAUUCCUCAAAUUUUUAAGGAAAAAUCUGGAAUUUUUAAGUGAAAUUUCCUCGAAUUUUUAAGGGAAAAUCUGGAAAUUUUAAGGGAAAAAUCCUGGAAUUUUUAAGGGAAAAUCCUGAAAUUUUAAAGUGAAAAUUCCUGGAAUUUUUAAGGAAAAAAUCCUGGAAUUUUUAAGGGAAAAUCCUGGAAUUUUUAAGGAAAAAUCCUGGAAUUUUAAAGUGAAAAUUCCUGAAAUUUUUAAGGAAAAAUCUGGAAUUUUUAAGGAAAAUCCUGGAACUUUUUAUGGAAAAUCCCUGAAAUUUCAGAGUCUCAAAAUUAAGGAAAAUUCCCCAAAAAAAUCCAGGAAAAUUCCCACAAAUUUGGGAGAAUUCGCCCCAAAAAUUCGGGAAAUUGAUCCCAAAAUUCGGGAAAAUCCCAAAUUCAGGCGGAAAAAUCCGAUUUUGGGGGUUUUGACCACCAAAAAAUGGGAUUUUGGGGUUUUUUGGGGAAUUUUUGGGUGGAUUUUGGGAAUUUUUGGGGAUUUUUGGGGAAUUUUUGGGGUUUUUUUGGGGUUUUUUUUUGUAGAUUUUGGUUUUUUUGGGAAUUUUUGGGAAUUUUUUCGGUGGAUUUUGGGAAUUUUUGGGAAUUUUUUGGGUUUUUUUGUGGAUUUUGGGGUUUUUUUGGAAUUUUUGGGUGGAUUUGGGAUUUUUUUUGUUUUUUGGGCAUUUUUGGGUGAAUUUUGGGAUAAAUUUGGGGAUUUUUGGGUCAAAUUUGGGAUUUUUGGGUCGAAUUUGGGGUUUUUUGGGACCCCGGAUCCGAUUUUGGGGUUUUUGGGGCUGAUUUUUGUUGUUUUUGGGGUGAAUUUGGGGGAUUUUGGGUUCAAUUUUGAAUUUUUGGGAGUGAAUUUUGGGAUAAAUUUUGUUGUUUUUGGGAUAAAUUUGGGGAUUUUUGGGGUAAAUUUUGUUAUUUUUGGGUCGAAUUUGGGGUUUUUUGGGUCAAAUUUGGGGAUUUUUGGGUCGAAUUUGGGGUUUUUUGGGUCGAAUUUUGUUAUUUUUGGGUCGAAUUUGGGG
RNAcentral lists this long non-coding RNA (1343 nucleotides) under Cyanistes caeruleus (blue tit). RNAcentral describes it as "lncRNA (ENSCCEG00000003557.1)". The record is from RNAcentral. Lineage: Eukaryota; Metazoa; Chordata; Aves; Passeriformes; Paridae.